GCCCUUUUAACUCAGCGGUAGAGUAACGCCAUG
RNAcentral lists this transfer RNA (33 nucleotides) under Panax vietnamensis. RNAcentral describes it as "partial tRNA-Thr". Lineage: Eukaryota; Viridiplantae; Streptophyta; Magnoliopsida; Apiales; Araliaceae. RNAcentral also lists the same sequence under 2 other names. The record is from RNAcentral.